AGAGUUUGAUCCUGGCUCAGGAUGAACGCUGGCGGCGUGCCUAAGACAUGCAAGUCGAGUGGGUUUAGACCCACGGCGAACGGGUGAGUAAUACAUAGGUACUUUCUUCAAGUUAAGAAUAUCCCACCGAAAGGUGGUGCAAUACUUAAUGUGAUCGUAAGAUUAAAGCCGCAAGGCGCUUGAAGUGAGGCCUGUGCCCCAUCAGCUAGUUGGUAAGGUAAUGGCUUACCAAGGCUACGACGGGUAGCGGGUCCGAGAGGAUGAUCCGCCACACUGGGACUGCGACACGGCCCAGACUCCUACGGGAGGCAGCAGUUUGGAAUUUUGGUCAAUGGGGGAAACCCUGAACCAGCGACGCCGCGUGGACGAAGAAGGCCUUCGGGUUGUAAAGUCCUUUUAGUAGGGAAAAAUUUUGAUUGUACCUACAGAAUAAGAGGUUGCUAACUCUGUGCCAGCAGCAGCGGUAAUACAGAGACCUCGAGCGUUAUCCGGAAUCAUUGGGCGUAAAGCGUACCGAUAGGUGGUUUUGAAAGUCAGAGGUGAAAUUCCGAAGCUUAACUUCGGAACUGUCCUUUGAAACUUCAAGACUAGAGGGGCAAAGAGGAAGCUGGAACAAACGGUGUAGUAGUGAAAUGCGUUGAUAUCGUUUGGAACACCAAUAGCGUAGGCAGGCUUCUGGGUGCCACCUGACACUGCUAGGACGAAAGCGUGGGGAGCGAAUGGGAUUAGAUACCCCAGUAGUCCACGCUGUAAACGAUGAUAAUUAGGCGCUAGAGAGUAUCGACCCUCAUUAGUGCCGUAGCUAACGCGUUAAAUUAUCCGCCUGGGGAGUACGGCCGCAAGGCUAAAACUCAAAGGAAUUGACGGGGACCCGCACAAGCGGUGGAGCAUGUGGUUUAAUUCGACGGUAAGCGAGGAACCUUACCA
RNAcentral lists this ribosomal RNA (927 nucleotides) under groundwater metagenome. RNAcentral's name for it is "bacterial SSU rRNA". It matches the Rfam family "Bacterial small subunit ribosomal RNA", at positions 8 to 976 of the family's 1533-position model. The record is from RNAcentral.